AUUGAACGCUGGCGGCAUGCUUUACACAUGCAAGUCGAACGGCAGCGCGGGAGCAAUCCUGGAGGCGAGUGGCGAACGGGUGAGUAAUACAUCGGAACGUGCCCAAUAGUGGGGGAUAACGCAGCGAAAGCUGUGCUAAUACCGCAUACGGUCUACGGAUGAAAGGAGGGGAUCGGAAGAGCUUGCGCGGAUGGGGCGGGCGAUGGCAGAUUAGGUCGUUGGUGUGGUAAAGGGUCACCAAGGCUUCGAUCUGUAGCUGGUCUGAGAGGACGAGCCGCCACACGGGAACUGGGACACGCCCCAGACUCCUACGGGAGGCAGCAGUGGGGAAUUUUGGACAAUGGGCGAAAGCCUGAUCCAGCCAUGCCGCGUGCAGGAUAAAGACCUUCGGGUUGUAAACUGCUUUUGUACGGAACGAAACGGUCUUUUCUAAUAAAGAAGGCUAAUGACGGUACCGGAAGAAUAAGCACCGGCUAACUACGUG
Molecule: ribosomal RNA, 484 nt
Filed under: uncultured bacterium
Lineage: Bacteria
Description: partial 16S ribosomal RNA
Rfam family: Bacterial small subunit ribosomal RNA
Source: RNAcentral